ACUAGCUUAGGCAAAGUAGGGAAUUACCAGUUUAUAUAACAGUAUUUUAGAGGUACUGUGGCUUCAGGUGUGACUGGAUCAAGGGAUCCUCAUGACAAAACAGGAGGAGAGGGGCAUGAGGGAACCUGACAGGAAGUGAGGAUUCGAGACUUCAAAUACAAACAUUAUGAAAAACAAGCAACAUCUGCAAACAACACUCUCUCGCAGGCACUUCCUGGACAGUGGGAUGUAACCGAGCAAGCUCUGUGCAGUAGGAAAUCGGAGAAGUCCAACUUUCAGCAGCCUUCAUAUUUGGAAUUCCAGGGGUUUACCUCCUACCCUCCUCAACAAACCCCGUGAAGGGUGGAUAAUUGCUCCGGGCUUUAUUACAGCA
Long non-coding RNA from Fukomys damarensis (Damara mole-rat), 373 nucleotides. RefSeq lists it as uncharacterized. The record is from RefSeq and is a predicted model, not a curated record. NCBI's taxonomy places the organism in Eukaryota, Metazoa, Chordata, Mammalia, Rodentia, Bathyergidae. The transcript has 4 exons.